RNAcentral lists this long non-coding RNA (179 nucleotides) under Sitophilus oryzae (rice weevil). RNAcentral's name for it is "uncharacterized LOC115878792". Lineage: Eukaryota; Metazoa; Arthropoda; Insecta; Coleoptera; Curculionidae. The record is from RNAcentral.
AACAGAAGAGAAGUUUAAAAUCAUUGUUAGUGGCCAAAAGCAAUUUUAGACUCCAUGAAAGGUCAAUUUCAAGAGUCAAAAGAAACCGAAAUUAUCAAUAUAAUUAAAAUAUGGCUUGUAAAAACAAAAGAAAGAUUAAAAAAUACCAAGAAGGGUAGACAAGAGAAUGUAGAAACAUA